GGGAAUGUGGAUUAGUGGUAGAGUACUUGCCUAGCAUGCAUGAAACCCUGGGUUCGAUUCCCUGCCCG
RNAcentral lists this transfer RNA (68 nucleotides) under Dipodomys ordii (Ord's kangaroo rat). It matches the Rfam family "tRNA". From Rfam's summary of the family: Transfer RNA (tRNA) molecules are approximately 80 nucleotides in length. Lineage: Eukaryota; Metazoa; Chordata; Mammalia; Rodentia; Heteromyidae. The record is from Rfam by way of RNAcentral.